RNAcentral lists this microRNA precursor (134 nucleotides) under Arabidopsis lyrata. Its description in RNAcentral is "miR774a stem-loop (aly-MIR774a)". Its record names the gene aly-MIR774a. The stretch from base 20 to 117 matches the Rfam family "MIR774 microRNA precursor family". The record is from miRBase by way of RNAcentral. Lineage: Eukaryota; Viridiplantae; Streptophyta; Magnoliopsida; Brassicales; Brassicaceae.
GCGUUGUUCAUUUGGAUUCAUAUUCGAGACGAAGAUAUGGGUGACUAAUACUUAAGAUUUUGGUCAAUUUAAAUUACCAAUCUAAUUAUUUGUUACCCAUAUCUCCAUCUCCAAUUUAAUCUCUUAAAAGUCGU